GUGUUUUAAAGCUGAUCUCUCUGUCUACCUCCCAGCAGUGAAGGCUGAGGGUCGCUGCAGGAGCUAAAGUCCUUGUUGAAGUCUCUGCUCCAGAGCCUCUCACAGAGGUGAGAACAGCCAGCCUCU
Long non-coding RNA from Pipistrellus kuhlii (Kuhl's pipistrelle), 126 nucleotides. RefSeq lists it as uncharacterized. The record is from RefSeq and is a predicted model, not a curated record. Lineage: Eukaryota; Metazoa; Chordata; Mammalia; Chiroptera; Vespertilionidae. The transcript is spliced from 3 exons.